RNAcentral lists this ribosomal RNA (253 nucleotides) under uncultured bacterium. Its description in RNAcentral is "partial 16S ribosomal RNA". It matches the Rfam family "Bacterial small subunit ribosomal RNA", at positions 524 to 776 of the family's 1533-position model. The record is from RNAcentral.
UACAGAGGGGGCAAGCGUUGUUCGGAAUUACUGGGCGUAAAGGGCGCGUAGGCGGCCUUCUAAGUCGAACGUGAAAUCCCCGGGCUCAACCCGGGAACUGCGUCCGAGACUGAAAGGCUCGAAUCCGGGAGAGGGAUGUGGAAUUCCAGGUGUAGCGGUGAAAUGCGUAGAUAUCGGAAGGAACAUCAGUGGCGAAGGCGGCUACCUGGAUUGAUACUGACACUGAGGCGCGAGAGCGUGGGGAGCAAACAGG